CUUGCGCUAUCAUCCCCCGCCACGGCCACUAUCCCUCCAACCGACUAUGGGGAACAGUGGCGUACACACGCACUAUAGCGAAAUACGCAAAAAGGUGCAAACUAGAUAGCAACAGAAUAGACCUCACUCGAAAUGCUAGCUAAAAUAUGUAAAAAGGUGCACAAAGUAAACAAGAGAGCGGGAGGUACCAACUCCCGGUGGAAAAACCUGAAAUUAUGCUUUGAUGCGUCCAAGUUUUCCUGAAGCUUCGUGUAGUUCUAUUGCGUCCUGCCGCGAGUCUGGACGGGAGUCACCGUGAGUACUGUGGCUUGCCGGAAAUCCUCGCCGGUAAAAUAGGCACCUGUCCAAGAUAACAAAACACACCCACACACACCCACAAAAAAGCAGAGGAGAGAAUAGAAAGAAAAGAGCAGGAGUUGCCGGAAAAAUUUCCGGCGAAAAGCGAGAAUUCCAGACCUCUAAAUAAUAUUACCAAAAUAAUUUGACCGGCUGACAACGUCGAGAAAUCUACAAACCCUAGAUUUGAUAAAACCUCUCUGAACCAAUGAAGACUUCAGACUAAUGUUUCUGAGUAGCCUAUUGCUGGUGUAUG
Molecule: long non-coding RNA, 592 nt
Filed under: Nicotiana benthamiana
Lineage: Eukaryota; Viridiplantae; Streptophyta; Magnoliopsida; Solanales; Solanaceae
Description: long non-coding RNA (NBEN_LNC037412)
Source: RNAcentral